This is a non-coding RNA of Pelobates cultripes (western spadefoot toad), 265 nucleotides long. The record is from the annotation of a GenBank genome assembly. NCBI's taxonomy places the organism in Eukaryota, Metazoa, Chordata, Amphibia, Anura, Pelobatidae.
GCUGCAUCCAUCCAUAAAGCUAAAAAUGUUAUAUAGUAAUGAUAAUAGUGGUAAUAAACUCUGUAAAGAAGUGCAUUUCUUGAUUAUGAUCUAACAGCAGUGUAGUAGAUAACACUCUGAUUGGGUUUCCUUAUGUGUGAUUGCCAUAUAUGACGAUUAAGGGAACUCCCUACUACACAGCUGUAAGAUCAAAAUUAAGAAAACAAAUUUUCUUAUCCCACAGCACCCUUCCUUUUCUCAUUCCUGUGACCAUCUUGUCCCUUCC